Molecule: ribosomal RNA, 37 nt
Filed under: Sticta limbata
Lineage: Eukaryota; Fungi; Ascomycota; Lecanoromycetes; Peltigerales; Lobariaceae
Description: partial 18S ribosomal RNA
Source: RNAcentral
UAAAAGUCGUACAAGGUUUCCGUAGGUGACCUGCGGA